UACAGGGGGGGCAAGCGUUGUUCGGAAUUACGGGGCGUAAAGGGUCUGUAGGUGGCCAACUAAGUCAGACGUGAAAUCCCUCAGCUUAACUGGGGAACUGCGUCUGAUACUGGAUGGCUUGAGUGUGGGAGAGGAAUGCGGAAUUCCAGGUGUAGCGGUGAAAUGCGUAGAUAUCUGGAGGAACACCGGUGGCGAAGGCGAGUCCCUGGACAACUCCUGACACUGAGGCACGAAAGCUAGGGGAGCAAACAGG
This 253-nucleotide ribosomal RNA is filed under the name uncultured bacterium. RNAcentral's name for it is "partial 16S ribosomal RNA". It matches the Rfam family "Bacterial small subunit ribosomal RNA", at positions 524 to 776 of the family's 1533-position model. The record is from RNAcentral.